Molecule: long non-coding RNA, 673 nt
Filed under: Cricetulus griseus (Chinese hamster)
Lineage: Eukaryota; Metazoa; Chordata; Mammalia; Rodentia; Cricetidae
Description: lncRNA (ENSCGRG00000024856.1)
Source: RNAcentral
AUGGCUGGGGUUCUGGUGCUGUGUCUUCCUCAGGCAUUUGGCUUCCAGUCUGCUUCAGAUCCAGUCAACCCCCACAAGCACUUCUGGGCAUCUCCAGCAGGUGGCUCAGCUACGCUUCAUAACACCUCUCUUCUGACUGAUUGCAAAGGCAAGUCGAGUGCUGGAACGGACGCUCUAAAGAGCCCUUUGAAAAGUCAUGGAAUGCUUGCUGGUGUGAAUGUUACCCUCGGAAUUGCUGAAGCCCUCUCCCAAUGUAUAGGAUUACCUCCACACGAAAUGCUCUCUUUCAGUGACUUUGUACAAGGAACACACCAGGUUAAAUUUCCCAUAAAAUCUAAUAAAUUGAGGAGAGUACAGAAAAUACCAGCACCUACAAGCCAGCCAGCCAAAACAACAGCAUAGCCGGGAACAGAAUUUGAGUCUUCUUGGACAAUAUAUACUCAAGGAAAACAUUCUUUGUGCUUCAGUUGUCUAACUUGGCUCUUCUUAUUCCACCUAAAAUAUAUUAAAUUUUGACCUUCCAAAUCAUUGUGGUUCUUUGUACCAAUGGGAUUGCUUUUUAUUACCAAAUCGAAGGAGGGGGGCAAUGAACACUGUCUCCAUGAUGAGAAGUUGUGUGUUGCUUAAUAUUUAGACAUGGCUUUGGAGAUUUUAUCCCAUCCAAACAGUUCUG